AGGACGAACGCUGGCGGCGUGCCUAACACAUGCAAGUCGAACGAGGUCCAACCGGUGGCAACACUGGUGAAGACCGAGUGGCGAACGGGUGAGUAACACGUGAGCAACCUGCCUCGAAGACUGGGAUAACCCCGGGAAACCGGAGCUAAUACCGGAUACCCCCACCGGGUCGCAUGGCCUGGUGAGGAAAUGGAUUCCGCUUUGAGAGGGGCUCGCGGCCUAUCAGCUUGAUGGUGGGGUAAUGGCCUACCAUGGCACCGACGGGUAGCUGGUCUGAGAGGACGAUCAGCCACACUGGGACUGAGACACGGCCCAGACUCCUACGGGAGGCAGCAGUGGGGAAUCUUGCGCAAUGGGCGAAAGCCUGACGCAGCAACGCCGCGUGUGGGACGAAGGCCUUCUGGGUUGUAAACCACUUUCAGCAGGGACGAUUGUGACGGUACCUGCAGAGAAGCCCGGCCAACUACGCGCCAGCAGCCGCGGU
RNAcentral lists this ribosomal RNA (484 nucleotides) under uncultured bacterium. RNAcentral describes it as "SSU rRNA". It matches the Rfam family "Bacterial small subunit ribosomal RNA", at positions 26 to 521 of the family's 1533-position model. The record is from RNAcentral.